Molecule: long non-coding RNA, 231 nt
Filed under: Carica papaya (papaya)
Lineage: Eukaryota; Viridiplantae; Streptophyta; Magnoliopsida; Brassicales; Caricaceae
Description: long non-coding RNA (CPAP_LNC009842)
Source: RNAcentral
AUAAUUAUCAACCUCCUCCACCUCUUGAAUGUCAUCCUCUUCACCGUCUUAUCUCCCAACACAUAACAGAAUUUAAAAGACUGAACCCUCAUCACUUCGACGGCAGUCCGAAUCCCAUGGUGACUGAAGUUUGGACCCAAGAAAUGGAUAAGUUCUUCAAAGUAUUAGAUGUGAUUAAAGAGUAGAAGGUUUCCUUGGCUACUUUUAUGUUUACUGGAGAAGUGGGUCAUU